AUCACUUCGGCACAUUCAACUUG
This 23-nucleotide non-coding RNA is filed under the name Cricetulus griseus (Chinese hamster). The record is from RNAcentral. Lineage: Eukaryota; Metazoa; Chordata; Mammalia; Rodentia; Cricetidae.